This 422-nucleotide ribosomal RNA is filed under the name uncultured archaeon. Its description in RNAcentral is "partial 16S ribosomal RNA". It matches the Rfam family "Archaeal small subunit ribosomal RNA", at positions 323 to 746 of the family's 1478-position model. The record is from RNAcentral.
CUACGGGAUGCACCAGGCGCGAAACUUCUACAAUGCACGAAAGUGUGAUAGGGGGAACCUCAGUGCUUAUACAAUGUAUAGGCUUUUGCCAAUGGUAAAUUCAUUGGCGAAUAAGUGGUGGGAAAGACCGGUGCCAGCAGCCGCGGUAAUACCGGCGCCACGAGUGGCAAUCACGUUUAUUGGGUCUAAAGCGUUCGUAGCCGGUUUGAUAAAUCUUUUGUGAAAUUGUCUUGCUUAACAGGACAGCGUGCAGAAGACACUGUUAGACUAGGAACCGGGAGGGGUCAGAAGUAUUUCAGGGGGAGCGGUUAAAUGUUAUAAUCCCUGAAAGACUACCAAUGGCGAAGGCAUCUGACCAGAACGGAUUCGACGGUGAGGAACGAAGGCCAGGGGAGCGAACCGGAUUAGAUACCCGAGUAGUC